UACCCUUCUGGAGGAGAACACGAAUCUUUGGGAACUAGUUCAGGAAGGUAAAAAAAUUUUUUUCUUCUAAAGUUAUGCCAUUUUGUUUUCUUUCUCCUCAGCUCUAAAUACUCUGAAGUCCAAAGAAGUUGUAUGUUGGGUGGGCUCCCUUCAACUUUAACAUGGAAGUGCUUUCUGUGACUUUAAAAGUAAGUGCUUCCAUGUUUUAGUAGGAGUGAAUCCAAUUUACUUCUCCAAAAUAGAACACGCUAACCUCAUUUGAAGGGAUCCCCUUUGCUUUAACAUGGGGGUACCUGCUGUGUGAAACAAAAGUAAGUGCUUCCAUGUUUCAGUGGAGGUGUCUCCAAGCCAGCACACCUUUUGUUACAAAAUUUUUUUGUUAUUGUGUUUUAAGGUUACUAAGCUUGUUACAGGUUAAAGGAUUCUAACUUUUUCCAAGACUGGGCUCCCCACCACUUAAACGUGGAUGUACUUGCUUUGAAACUAAAGAAGUAAGUGCUUCCAUGUUUUGGUGAUGGUAAGUCUUCCUUUUACAUUUUUAUUAUUUUUUUAGAAAAUAACUUUAUUGUAUUGACCGCAGCUCAUAUAUUUAAGCUUUAUUUUGUAUUUUUACAUCUGUUAAGGGGCCCCCUCUACUUUAACAUGGAGGCACUUGCUGUGACAUGACAAAAAUAAGUGCUUCCAUGUUUGAGUGUGGUGGUUCCUACCUAAUCAGCAAUUGCGUUAACGCCCACACUGUGUGCAGUUCUUGGCUACAGGCCAUUACUGUUGCUAAUAUGCAACUCUGUUGAAUAUAAAUUGGAAUUGCACUUUAGCAAUGGUGAUGGAUUGUUAAGCCAAUGACAGAAUUUAAACCACAGACUUACUUUGAUAGCACUCUUAAUGGUAUAACUUCUUCUCCCAUUUUAUGUCUCUCUUUAUGUUUUUUCUUAUGUUUCCUUUUUGUUUUCAAGAGAGAGCUAUCUUUUAGAUCUCCAGUAUCCUUUUCCUCUUCAGUAGAGAUUUCUAUAUCUUGAAAUAAAUAAAAAAGCUCUCCGUUAAGACAUGGGGCUGUGAAAUGGGUGAAACAGAAGCCAAUUAAAACCUAAUUAAUUAAAAACUAAUUAAUUAAAAUUAAUUAGUUUUAUCUAAUUAAAACCUUGUAGUUUUACCUCUAUUUUCCUUGGAAGCUUCUGAUGCUUCCUUAAUGAUGUCUUUCUGAAUAAUUUUCUUUACUUUUGAUCGGGGAGCUAGGGAUUCUGCAUCUUCAGAGCUGCUUCUCUUCCUCUUCCCUGUUCUGACUUCAGGUAAGCUAGAUGCUUCAACUCUGUCCCGUUUUUUCUUUUUCUUUGAGCACUGCUUUUGGGGUUCAGUGGACUCAAUGUCAGAGCCCUCAGAUGUGGGUCUGGAUCUUUUCAUUUUACUGAUGCUGGUGUUGCUUGUGUCCAUGUUUUCUUCUUUGGCUUGGAUAUUGUCUUCCUUUUUCAUUCGGCCUUUCUUCUUCUUUUUCUUUUUCUUCUCUUCUGUAAAAGUGCCAUCAUUAUUAGUUCAUCUUACUUCAACUACACCUAUUUAAAUAUUGAAAAAUACUCACCCACAACUCUUAAGGCUGGAAUGGGCUUAUUUUUCACUGUUUUAGGAAAUAUGCCAGGUUUUCUUGGUGCUUCUUCUGGUGGGUUGUUAAGAAACUGAAAUGAUUGCAAAAGUUACUAUUUUAAUACUUGUUUUCUUUUCUUUCUUUUUUUUUUUUUAGGAUCUGGACUUACCUCAAUUGCUUUUGCUGCUUGUUCUUUUGUUUCAAAUUCCACAAACGCAAAUCCCUUUGGAUCUCCAGUAGACUUAUAAUGUGGUAUACUUAUAUAAACAACAUUGCCACAUUUCCCAAAUACUCUUUCAAUCCAGCUGUGAUUAACAUUUUUGGGAAGUAACUCCUAUUAUAAAUUAAAAGCAAUAUUAGAGUUUUUCACAAUCAGAAUGUCAAUAAAUUUUUAACUUAAUUAUAU
Homo sapiens (human) is the source of this 1982-nucleotide long non-coding RNA. Ensembl annotates it as miR-302/367 cluster host gene. Its record names the gene MIR302CHG. NCBI's taxonomy places the organism in Eukaryota, Metazoa, Chordata, Mammalia, Primates, Hominidae. The record is from Ensembl.